Corticium candelabrum is the source of this 1094-nucleotide long non-coding RNA. RefSeq lists it as uncharacterized. The transcript has 4 exons. The record is from RefSeq and is a predicted model, not a curated record. Lineage: Eukaryota; Metazoa; Porifera; Homoscleromorpha; Homosclerophorida; Plakinidae.
UUUACUCAAUUGGAAGAGUGCAUCUCAUAUUGGUACAUUUCAAGGCACAUUAAUGCAUGAACUACUAUCAUCCUAGCAAUGAUGAGAUAGAGGAUAAUUUCUUGCACAAGAAACUCCCAUCUUUGCCUCAUUUGAUUCUAGUGUAUAUAUUGAGUAACUGGUAUCUCAUUGGGGUGGACAAGGUCUGUGACUGUUGUUGUCGACAAGAACUGUCUGGCUUGCUGCAUUCUGGGUGUUCUGACCAUUACUAAUGGCCAUGUGAAGUACGGUAUAUAAAUGUGAGAGCGUUACCUGGGCCAUCAAGCUACACCUGGUACUGAAAUAAUCCAGGUAGCCAAGGAUGGUGUUUGUCCUUUUGUUGGCUAUGUCACAUUACUGGUUGAUGACACUUGAAAGACACCAUGUAUUUGAGACAACAGCAAAAUCAACAUGGUCCUUAAUACUUCUAAAAUGAUCUGUUGCCAGACAGCUGACAGUUGUUUGGCUGAAAUUCUUUGUCAACAUUAUUAAUUAACAAUGAGUUGAUGUCUGCUACUUGUUAUGAGUUCAUUUGAAGCCAUGCUCUAACUAGAAGAAGGAGUCAUGAUCAGUGAAACCUGCACUACUACAGAAAUGGGAGUGAUGAAAGUAGUCUUAGUUGCUAGUUGUACCAAGAGGACAGUUGUGACUUCAGGGUAGCAAUAAAAUGUUUGUCACUGCUUAUCUUGCAUAUGCAUUGGAUGUCCACAAAUAAUCAUGAGUCAUCUGACUCUUGUCAGAACUAUAAUUAUAAUAACGUCCAAACAUUGUGGUCAGAUCUAUAAUUUGUGACUUGUAAUAGACAACUGCCAUUGUGUAUGUGCAACAGCAGCAGUCGCUAUUUCUUUUCUCACUGGAUGCAGAUCAGCAUCUAUACACAUGAUGCAGUCAAAACGUAGACAAUAGCCAUUGAAUUAAAUGAGAAUUUAUUUAAUUCGCUAACAUACCACAAUGUAUAUUAAGUUCAAGACAUGAGCACAAGCAGACUGUUUGAUGAGGUACCGUAUUUCUCCAAAUAAUUCGUUCCUGAUUAAUUCCCUGCCUGUAUAUUUCCCUUAGUAUACACCCACUGUGAA